CGUGGUUUGUGUCUGAACUACCUGAAAAAGAUAUCUCAAACGUGGUGGUCCAGUGUAGGUAGUAUUCUACAAUAAGCUGCCGUUGUUUGUGUCUGAACUACCUGAAAAAGAUAUCUCAAACGUGGGGGUCAAAUGUACGUAGUAUUCUAUACAAUAAGUUGUCGUGGUUUGUGUCUGAACGACCUGACAUCUGAAACGUGGGUGUAUUCAGUACUCUACAGUGAGCCACGUUUUACGUCAAAGCAAUCAAUGUCCAGAAAAUCUUGACGUAAGAAACCAAGUGGUGAAUUUAAAUGAUAAUAUCAUUGGCAUGCCUGCUGGCUGCCGCAUCACAGGUAUAUAAUAGACUAAAUCAAACGAUCAAACAAUCAAUCACUAUCGUGAAAUCUUAGCUCUCUAAUCCGAAAUGUAAUGCAAUGUUUUUAAUUCAAAGUAUUUCAAGGCACUUUAGUCAUUCAUUUAUUUUCAUUGGAGUAUUCUAGCCUUUAAUCGCCAAAUGCUGACGCACAGUUUGUUUGCUAAAGCAUUUGUUGCUAUUAUAUGUAUAUUUCAUGUACGACUGGCAUAUGGCCAGGGUAUUACGUUUUCCCCUUUGACUUUUGACCUUUAUUUGGCAGCGUGUAAGUCACUGAUAGCUACAAUUUUUUUUUUUACAAUGAUUCUGUUUUUCAUGUCUUUGCCAAAAUUGUAUGUUUCUACGUUUUAUACCGUUAAAUUUUCAAUUUGUUUAGGUUCGUUGCGCCAAUUUUGUAUUUCGCGCAGAAAAUUCGUGGCUUAUGGUAAAUUUGUUACUUUGCAGUCAAUGAAUAUAUUACGCUACGGUGAAGCUAUAAAAGCUAUCGCAAUGAAAUAAAGAUCAUUGCAUUCAGAAAGGACUAACUUAGAUUUUGAUAUAUGGCGUUUGAAUUUACGUGCAAUAUUAAUAGACUGCGCUAUUGAUGUUUGAACGUUGAACUACUGUUUUUGAAAAUGCC
Non-coding RNA from Paramuricea clavata, 974 nucleotides. NCBI's taxonomy places the organism in Eukaryota, Metazoa, Cnidaria, Anthozoa, Malacalcyonacea, Plexauridae. The record is from the annotation of a GenBank genome assembly.